RNAcentral lists this long non-coding RNA (1126 nucleotides) under Meriones unguiculatus (Mongolian gerbil). Its description in RNAcentral is "lncRNA (ENSMUGG00000011301.1)". The record is from RNAcentral. Lineage: Eukaryota; Metazoa; Chordata; Mammalia; Rodentia; Muridae.
GGCCGGGCCGCACGGUGCAGUUUUUUUUUUUCCUCUGAGCGGGUAGAGCGGCGGCUCACGUGGCUGGAGGCGCCGGGAGUUUCCCCCAGGCGGGGAGGGGCGACUCCGCCCUCCGCCCACGCCCGAGCCGAGCGCCUCGCUUCCUCCUCGUGGCGGCCCGAGGGUCCCGAGCGCCCGUCUGCCUGUUUCCGGUCCCCCGGAGGGUCCCGCGUUUGCGUUUCGGGGCGUGAGGAAUCCGUGCCUCGCGAGGUUGAGAACAAAAAGAAGAUGCACCUGGACUUUCCCCGGAGCCCUCUGCGUUUUUAAGGCGUCGGGUGGAGUUGGUUCGUAAGCCGCGUUCCUUACUGAAAAUAGAAGUCACUUCUGCCUUCCCGUGGUAAGUUUUAGAGCAGAAAAGGCAGCAGUUGCUACUUGAAGCCGCGCGGCCAUCGUGGUCUUGAUUGAGUAGAACUUUCUGAGUAAGAAAAUCUGCCUGGACGCGCUCCCGGCGUUCCGGAGGUUAGAACUCAUUUACAAAAUGGAGGCAGGGCGAGGGCGGGCUCUCAGUGAAAACUCCGGCGACUUCCUGGAACACAAAGAUGUGUAGAGGAGGGUGCAGCAAGGCUCCCACCAAGCGGGCCCUGAACAAAAGAACUGGGUGGGUGGUGUUUGAGCGGCCCUGUUUGUUUCGCAGAUAAACUUAACCAGUUCAGGAUUCAAAGGGCGCACCUCAUUUAUCUUACCUGGAUCUACCUGAAGGCAGUGAAAAUCCAGUCUAACCAGUAUCACCGAAUGGGUAGUUGCUAGAAAAGCAAGAGGCUCAACCUGGGUUAUUUACUUAUUUUAGAAUUUAAGAGCGCAUUUUCAUUAGUUAUCAAGUUGUGGGAUUACAUUUUAAAAGCGAAUGUAGGGCUCAUCGGGCUACAGUAUUACAAGCCAGGCACCCGGGAAUGGUGCAAAUAAUUCCGGUAGUGUGUGCUGCAAUUUCAGCCAAAUCUCUGGGUGCAGGAACAGUACUUUAAAAGAGACCAAGCUUUCCAUCUGGUCUUUUUCCUGGGCAUGUCUCCACAGUUCACAUGUUCACAGGUCUUGUGCCAGUGGGUAAAUGUAGGUCUAGCUGCCAGCUGCUUGCGCUAUGGUGUCUCCA